CCCAACAAUAUGCUUGAGGCAAACAUUCAUCAAAGUUAGCCAAGCGUUUGAAUAUGCAAAUAAUAAUGUUUACUCGAAACAAACAAUGCAGAAUAGUACGCCUAUUUUUCGGCCUUUCCAGCGGGACUUAACGAUAAACGAAUCUAAUCGAAUUUUAUAACAAUAAAAAUACAGCAAAAUUAUAAGAGUUCUUAUCACAGAAAUGAUAAUCUUGUGAGUUUUCGCAGCUAUUUAAGAAAUUAUCACAUAUUUUGAAAGAUGGUCUAGCCAUUGGAUCAGUCUGCCUUUGUGCCUUCUUCUAAUCCUAAACGCUUGAACUUAUCCACACCAGACCGCACCCAACACAACCAGACGAGCAAAGCAAUCAAAGAUUAAGCAGCGAAGAAAUGAAUGCACAACGAAGUUCAAAUGCUCUUCUAAUAAAAGUUCGAGUCAAAAGCAAAAUAAAGAUAAGUUAAGGAACAAACGUGACGGUAUUUCCCAGACAUUACACAACUUAUAGCCCCAAUACCAAUACAACGAAUAGCAAUUAGCACACAUAAAUAUGUAUGUAAUCGCGAGACAAAUUUCUGACAGCCAUGAAAGUGAAAUUGAAAAUAAAGACCAUAAAUUUA
RNAcentral lists this small RNA (614 nucleotides) under Drosophila pseudoobscura pseudoobscura. RNAcentral's name for it is "GA32027". The record is from RNAcentral. Lineage: Eukaryota; Metazoa; Arthropoda; Insecta; Diptera; Drosophilidae.